RNAcentral lists this ribosomal RNA (639 nucleotides) under uncultured bacterium. Its description in RNAcentral is "bacterial SSU rRNA". It matches the Rfam family "Bacterial small subunit ribosomal RNA", at positions 56 to 690 of the family's 1533-position model. The record is from RNAcentral.
UGCAAGUCGAACGGUAACAUGAGUAGCAAUACUUGAUGACGAGUGGCGCACGGGUGCGUAACGCGUAUGCAAUCUACCUUCAACUGGUGAAUAGCCCGAAGAAAUUCGGAUUAAUACACCAUAGUAUAUAGAGAUGGCAUCAUCUUUAUAUUAAAACUCCGGUGGUUGAAGAUGAGCAUGCGUGACAUUAGCUAGUUGGUAAGGUAAUGGCUUACCAAGGCUACGAUGUCUAGGGGAUCUGAGAGGAUUAACCCCCACACUGGUACUGAGACACGGACCAGACUCCUACGGGAGGCAGCAGUAAGGAAUAUUGGACAAUGGUCGCAAGACUGAUCCAGCCAUGCCGCGUGCAGGAUGACAGCCCUAUGGGUCGUAAACUGCUUUUGUGCGAGAAAAAACCCCUCUACGUGUAGAGGGCUGAUUGUAUCGUAAGAAUAAGGAUCGGCUAACUCCGUGCCAGCAGCCGCGGUAAUACGGAGGAUCCAAGCGUUAUCCGGAUUCAUUGGGUUUAAAGGGUGCGUAGGCGGAAUGAUAAGUCAGUGGUGAAAGCCUGCAGCUUAACUGCAGAACUGCCAUUGAUACUGUCAAUCUUGAGUACAUUUGAUGUGGGCGGAAUGUGUCAUGUAGCGGUGAAAUGCU